This 24-nucleotide non-coding RNA is filed under the name Mus musculus (house mouse). The record is from RNAcentral. Lineage: Eukaryota; Metazoa; Chordata; Mammalia; Rodentia; Muridae.
UGAGUUCAAGCCUCAGAAUUCAGG